AACGAACGCUGGCGGCAGGCCUCAUACGUGCAAGUCGAGCGAUUAAGACUCCUUCGGGAGUGUAUAAAGCGGCGAACGGGUGAGUAACAGGUGGAUGAUCUACCUUCCGGUGGGGGAUAACGGCUGGAAACGGCCGCUAAUACCGCAUUCGGUUAAUACGCUGUGGCGUAUUAAAGAAAGGCGCCUCAAAGCGCCGCCGGGAGAUGAGUCCGCCCCCCAUUAGCUAGUUGGUGAGAUAACAGCUCACCAAGGCAACGAUGGGUAGCCGAACUGAGAGGUUGAUCGGCCACACUGGAACUGAGACACGGUCCAGACACCUACGGGUGGCAGCAGUAGGGAAUAUUGGGCAAUGGGCGAAAGCCUGACCCAGCCAUGCCGCGUGAGUGAUGAAGGUCCUAGAGAUUGUAAACUGCUUUUCCAGGGGAGAAACUUUCCGAUGCAUCGGGAUUUGACGGUACCCUGGGAAUAAGCAUCGGCUAACUCCGUGCCAGCAGCCGACGGU
Molecule: ribosomal RNA, 502 nt
Filed under: uncultured bacterium
Lineage: Bacteria
Description: bacterial SSU rRNA
Rfam family: Bacterial small subunit ribosomal RNA
Source: RNAcentral